UACGAAGGGGGCUAGCGUUGUUCGGAAUUACUGGGCGUAAAGCGCGCGCAGGCGGUUCUUCAAGUCAGUGGUGAAAGCCCGGAGCUCAACUCCGGAACUGCCAUUGAAGCUGUGGAACUUGAGGAUGAGAGAGGUGAGUGGAAUUCCCAGUGUAGAGGUGAAAUUCGUAGAUAUUGGGAAGAACACCGGUGGCGAAGGCGGCUCACUGGCUCAUUUCUGACGCUCAGGCGCGACAGCGUGGGGAUCAAACAGG
RNAcentral lists this ribosomal RNA (253 nucleotides) under uncultured bacterium. Its description in RNAcentral is "partial 16S ribosomal RNA". It matches the Rfam family "Bacterial small subunit ribosomal RNA", at positions 524 to 776 of the family's 1533-position model. The record is from RNAcentral.